GACGAACGCUGGUGGCGUGCUUAACACAUGCAAGUCGAGCGGUAAGGCCCUUCGGGGUACACGAGUGGCGAACGGGUGAGUAACACGUGGGUGAUCUGCCCUGCACUUUGGGAUAAGCCUGGGAAACUGGGUCUAAUACCGGAUAGGACCACGGCCUGCAUGGGUUGUGGUGGAAAGCUUUUGCGGUGUGGGAUGGGCCCGCGGCCUAUCAGCGUGUUGGUGGGGUGAUGGCCUACCAAGGCGACGACGGGUAGCCGGCCUGAGAGGGUGUCCGGCCACACUGGGACUGAGAUACGGCCCAGACUCCUACGGGAGGCAGCAGUGGGGAAUAUUGCACAAUGGGCGCAAGCCUGAUGCAGCGACGCCGCGUGGGGGAUGACGGCCUUCGGGUUGUAAACCUCUUUCACCAGGGACGAAGCGCAAGUGACGGUACCUGGAGAAGAAGCACCGGCCAACUACGUGCCAGCAGCCGCGGUAA
RNAcentral lists this ribosomal RNA (478 nucleotides) under uncultured bacterium. RNAcentral describes it as "partial 16S ribosomal RNA". It matches the Rfam family "Bacterial small subunit ribosomal RNA", at positions 28 to 523 of the family's 1533-position model. The record is from RNAcentral.